This 656-nucleotide ribosomal RNA is filed under the name uncultured bacterium. Its description in RNAcentral is "bacterial SSU rRNA". It matches the Rfam family "Bacterial small subunit ribosomal RNA", at positions 46 to 699 of the family's 1533-position model. The record is from RNAcentral.
GCUUAUAAUGCAAGUCGCACGUGAAAGUCCUUCGGGAUGAGUAAAGUGGCGCACGGGUGAGUAAUGCAUGGGAACGUACCUUUAGGAGGGGAAUAACCACGGGAAACUGUGGCUAAUACCGCAUAACGACGAGAGUCCAAAGCAGGCCUCUACUUGUAAGCUUGCACCUAAAGAGCGGCCCAUGUCCCAUUAGCUAGUUGGUAGGGUAAUGGCCUACCAAGGCGACGAUGGGUAGCUGGUCUGAGAGGAUGAUCAGCCACACUGGGACUGAGACACGGCCCAGACUCCUACGGGAGGCAGCAGUAGGGAAUUUUGCACAAUGGGCGCAAGCCUGAUGCAGCAACGCCGCGUGAGUGAAGAAGGCCCUUGGGUUGUAAAGCUCUUUCGAUUGGGAAGAAGGGUUCACUUGCAAAUAGUCUGUGGAUCUGACGGUACCAGAAGAAGAAGCACCUGCUAACUUCGUGCCAGCAGCAGCGGUAAUACGAAGGGUGCAAGCGUUGUUCGGAAUUACUGGGCGUAAAGCGCGCGUAGGCGGGCUGGAAAGUCGAUUGUGAAAUACCUGGGCUUAACCUGGGAACUGCAGUCGAAACUCCCGGUCUUGAGUGCCUGAGAGGAUGGCGGAAUUCCCGGUGUAGUAGUGAAAUACGUAGAUAUCG